GNGNNNGGGCNGGCAGGCCUAACACAUGCAAGUCGAGCGGUAACAGGGGUAGCUUGCUACCCGCUGACGAGCGGCGGACGGGUGAGUAAUGCAUAGGAAUCUGCCCGGUAGUGGGGGAUAACCUGGGGAAACCCAGGCUAAUACCGCAUACGUCCUACGGGAGAAAGGGGGCUUUGGCUCCCGCUAUUGGAUGAGCCUAUGUCGGAUUAGCUAGUUGGUGAGGUAAAGGCUCACCAAGGCAACGAUCCGUAGCUGGUCUGAGAGGAUGAUCAGCCACAUCGGGACUGAGACACGGCCCGAACUCCUACGGGAGGCAGCAGUGGGGAAUAUUGGACAAUGGGGGCAACCCUGAUCCAUCCAUGCCGCGUGUGUGAAGAAGGCCCUCGGGUUGUAAAGCACUUUC
This 403-nucleotide ribosomal RNA is filed under the name Halomonas sp. HPCPS30. Its description in RNAcentral is "bacterial SSU rRNA". It matches the Rfam family "Bacterial small subunit ribosomal RNA", at positions 38 to 437 of the family's 1533-position model. The record is from RNAcentral. Lineage: Bacteria; Pseudomonadati; Pseudomonadota; Gammaproteobacteria; Oceanospirillales; Halomonadaceae.